RNAcentral lists this transfer RNA (63 nucleotides) under Physella acuta. RNAcentral's name for it is "transfert RNA-Q(CAA)". The record is from RNAcentral. Lineage: Eukaryota; Metazoa; Mollusca; Gastropoda; Physidae.
UUUUUCUUGGUGUAACGUCACGAAAAGAUUUGAGCUUUUAGGAGGAGUAGUUUCCAGGGAGAC